This 433-nucleotide ribosomal RNA is filed under the name uncultured bacterium. RNAcentral describes it as "partial 16S ribosomal RNA". It matches the Rfam family "Bacterial small subunit ribosomal RNA", at positions 29 to 507 of the family's 1533-position model. The record is from RNAcentral.
AACGAACGCUGGCGGCGUGCCUAACACAUGCAAGUCGAACGAGACCUUCGGGUCUAGUGGCGCACGGGUGCGUAACGCGUGGGAACCUGCCCUUAGGUUCGGAAUAACUCCCCGAAAGGGGUGCUAAUACCGGAUAAUGUCUUCGGACCAAAGAUUUAUCGCCUUUGGAUGGGCCCGCGUUGGAUUAGCUAGUUGGUAGGGUAAAAGCCUACCAAGGCGACGAUCCAUAGCUGGUCUGAGAGGAUGAUCAGCCACACUGGGACUGAGACACGGCCCAGACUCCUACGGGAGGCAGCAGUGGGGAAUAUUGGACAAUGGGCGAAAGCCUGAUCCAGCAAUGCCGCGUGAGUGAUGAAGGCCUUAGGGUUGUAAAGCUCUUUUACCCGGGAUGAUAAUGACAGUACCGGGAGAAUAAGCGCCGGCUAACUCCGUG